UCCCAUUUUCGUUAGCUUUGUCCAAAUUUAUUUGCCAGAAUGGGUUCUAUUGGUUUGACAGAGAAGCCACAUGCAGUUUGCAUACCAUUCACAUAACCCCAAUGCUGCAAUUAACCAAACUCCUCCACUACAAGGGCUUUCACAUAACCUUUGUGAACACCGAAUUCAACCAUAGACGCCUUCUUAAAUCCCGAGGUCCCAACUCUCUUGAUGGCCUCCCAUCCUUUAGGUUCGAAACCAUUCCCGAUGGCCUCCCUCCAACAGAUAUCAAUGCCACCCAGGACGUAACCGCUCUAUGCGUUUCCACUAGAAAAAAUUGCUUAGCACCCUUCAGAGACCUUUUGUCAAAACUCAAUUCUUUGCCCGAUUCCCCUCCAGUUACUUGUAUAGUUUCUGAUGGUGGCAUGACCUUCACUCUUGAUGCAGCCGAAGAAUUGGGCAUUCCGGAAGUUCUUUUCCAGACACCAAGUGCUUGUGGCUUCAUGUGCUUCCUUCAGUGUGGCCCUCUCAUCGAAAAGGGCUUAAUACCUCUUAGAGAUGCUAGCUAUUUGACAAAUGGGUAUUUGGAUACUGAGAUAGAUUGGAUACCAGGCAUGAGAGGUAUCCGAUUGAGGGACAUCCCAAGCUUCAUCAGAAUCACAGACCCAAAUGAUUUCAUGCUGGAUUUUAUAUUGGUUGGGACUGCAAGAGCUAAAAGAGCUUCUGCCAUAAUUUUGAACACGUUUGAUGCGUUAGAGCAUGAAGUUUUAGAUGGACUAUCGACUUUGCUACCAGCUGUUUAUUCCGUUGGACCCCUACAUCUACAGCUUAAUCAGAUCCCAGCAGAUAACGAGUUGAAGUCCAUUGGAUCAAACCUGUGGACAGAAGAACCAGUGUGUCUUGAUUGGCUUGACUCUAAAGAACCUAACUCUGUGGUUUAUGUCAACUUUGGAAGUAUCACAGUUAUGACAACUGAGCAGCUGAUUGAGUUUGCUUGGGGACUUGCAAACAGCAACCAGACCUUUUUUUGGGUGAUCAGGCCUCACCUUGUUGGUGGGGAAGCAGCUGUGGUUCCACCAGAGUUUAUGCAAGAGACCAAAAAAAGGGGUCUAUUGGCAAGUUGGUGCCCUCAAGAACAAGUUCUGAGCCACCCGGCCGUAGGAGGGUUCUUGACACACAAUGGUUGGAACUCUACUCUUGAGAGUUUGUGUGGUGGAGUGCCCAUGAUCUGUUGCCCCUUCUUUGCAGAGCAACAAACCAAUUGUAGGUUCUGUUGCAGAGAGUGGGGCAUAGGCAUGGAGAUAGAGGGUGAUGUUAAAAGAAAUUACGUAGAGGGGCUUGUGAGAAAGUUAAUGGAGGGGGAGGAGGGCAAAGAGAUGAGGAAGAAAGCCUUGGAAUGGAAGAAGUUGGCAAAGGAGGCCACCACUGGUCCAAAUGGGUCAUCUUUUGUGGGUUUGGACAAACUGGUUAACCAGAUGCUUCUAUCUCCGAGGAAUUAGAAAUUUAGAAUUGAUUCAAAAUCUAUCUUGUUUUUACUUUGUAUUUGUCCAAGAAGUUUACCUAUUAAGCUUAAUACUGCUUCUAUCA
Molecule: RNA transcript, 1566 nt
Organism: Prunus dulcis (almond)
Lineage: Eukaryota; Viridiplantae; Streptophyta; Magnoliopsida; Rosales; Rosaceae
Gene name: 7-deoxyloganetin glucosyltransferase-like
Exons: 2
Source: RefSeq, a predicted model, not a curated record